This 787-nucleotide long non-coding RNA is filed under the name Homo sapiens (human). Its description in RNAcentral is "HSALNT0082691". Lineage: Eukaryota; Metazoa; Chordata; Mammalia; Primates; Hominidae. The record is from RNAcentral.
GGAAGCUCCUUUCAGAUAGAGACAAGGGAUAUUUGACUUCUUAUCUCUGUUGUCCAGCACAAUGUCCAGAACACAACAGAUAUUCCAUAUGCACAGUCACAUGCUAUGUAUGUGUAUUUUCUUUCCAGAAAGGACUAGAGGUCCUAAGCUUUGUUAAUAUCAUGAGCCAGUGCCCACAUGAGCAGGAGAAUUUUAGCACAGUCACCUACACACUCAUUUCGAUGCUCUGACCCCUUAUCCAAGCCAGUCAAAGUGUGGUCUAUGGUUUUGCAUUUUAAAGAGAUCCCUGGGUGAAUCUUGUGCAUGUUACAGGGAAGCACUGUCCUACAUCCUAUGUGACAGGCUCUCAUAGUCACCAUCAUCAUGGGAAUCUUGCACAUGUUACAGGGAAGCACUGUCCUACAUCAUAUGUGACAGGCUCUCAUAGUCACCAUCAUCACGGGAAUCUUGCACAUGUUACAGGGAAGCACUGUCCUACAUCGUAUCUGACAGGGUCUCAGAGUCACCAUCAUCACGGGAAUCUUGUGCAUGUUACAGGGAAGCACAGUCCUACAUCGUAUCUGACAGGCUCUCAUAGUCACCAUCAUCACGGGAAGCUGCAUUUAGAGCAUUUAACUGUAUGGGCUCUGAAAUCAGAUGACUUAGGUUUGGGCUUGCCUCUACUUCUUACUAAGCAGAGAACUUUGGGGCAUGAUACUUAAUUUUACUAGGCUCAGUUUUAUCAUGUGUAAAUUGGAGGCAAGGGGAAAUUAUAGCAUUUUGCAUAGAAUAUUGUUUUAAGUAUGAA